UACGGGGGGGGCAGGCGUUGUUCGGAAUUACUGGGCGUAAAGGGCUCGUAGGUGGCCAACUAAGUCGGACGUGAAAUCCCUCAGCUUAACUGGGGAACUGCGUCCGAUACUGGAUGGCUUGAGUUUGGGAGAGGGAUGCGGAAUUCCAGGUGUAGCGGUGAAAUGCGUAGAUAUCAGGAGGAACACCUGCGGUGUAGACGGCUUUCUGGACCAUUACUGACACUGAGACACGAAAGCGUGGGUAGCAAACAGG
RNAcentral lists this ribosomal RNA (253 nucleotides) under uncultured bacterium. Its description in RNAcentral is "partial 16S ribosomal RNA". It matches the Rfam family "Bacterial small subunit ribosomal RNA", at positions 524 to 776 of the family's 1533-position model. The record is from RNAcentral.